This 432-nucleotide ribosomal RNA is filed under the name Triticum aestivum (bread wheat). RNAcentral's name for it is "partial small subunit ribosomal RNA". The record is from RNAcentral. Lineage: Eukaryota; Viridiplantae; Streptophyta; Magnoliopsida; Poales; Poaceae.
AUGAACAUCGCCCUCCUUGCUCGAUGGCUUUGGCGGAUCUCUAGUGGUGAGGGUGGUCUUUGGCUGCAGAUUAUCCAGAAUAAAUAUCUUCGCGGCCACCCCCUUGCUUUCUGCCAACGGACUGGUGGCUACCAGUUCUGGCAAUCCAUCAUACAUCUGCUUCUCGUACUCCGGAUUGGGACCUCCAUUGUGAUAGGAACGGGCUCUAGUACCCUAUUCUGGUUCGAUAGGUGGGCGGGCGACGCCCCCUUUGUUGCCCGCUUCCCGGAUUUCUUCGCCAUCGUUGUGGACCCUCGCGUCUCCGUAAAGACGGCCCUUAUUGACAUAGGGCGCCUCGCCUUCAGGCGGCCCUUUGGGCCCCUGGAAGUGAAUGCAUGGCAUGAGCUCCUGGACACUGUUGCUCUGCAUGAGCCGGACCUCACGCGACCCUAG